ACCAAUCAGCAGACUACCCUGAGAUAUUUGAUACAACUGUGUGUGUCAGUGUUCCCUGAAAACACAACCAAUCCUUUGGGCUUCACAACGCUCUCAUCAGCGCUCAGCUCAGCCUGCACCCCCUCCAGACUCAACUGCCACACACGCCUAUGUAGGCAGCCAAGCGCACACCAAACCUUUGCCUCCCAGUCAUUUUCACAUUGCUGAUUGUCACAUGUGCUCGAUUCUAAUGUUACGGACAGCAUCUGAAGGCAGCACGGGAGUCAGGCAGCCAAGAGACCUAAUCUCCCAUACAUUGCCAGGUUUACAGCUGCAACAUCCUCAAAGAUGGACAAAGUUUAACACAUUCAAAAAACUCACGGAGCUCCAACUGGUCUGGUUUCAGGUGCGUAGACAGACCAUCAAACUCUUGUACACUGCCGACUGUCAGAAUAAUUCAGUCUGACGUAAACUUGAAGAUGGCCUUGCCUUGACUUUAAAUCAGCUCUCCCCUCUGAGGGGCCCCUGGCCUCCCUGAAAGCAUUAUCUUAUUAAUUCCUUAACUAGCUUAGACCCUAAGCAGACAUGUUGAGUCAAAAUAAAGUCCAACUAAUUUGUUGUUGGUCCAGAAUCACAAGACUGCAGUCAGACUUUUCCACUGCAUGCCAUGCAUUUGUGUAAGUUCAACAAAGACAAACAUUUCUUUGGGCUGAUCCUCAACUUUCUUUUUGCAUUUAGGU
Molecule: long non-coding RNA, 719 nt
Organism: Micropterus dolomieu (smallmouth bass)
Lineage: Eukaryota; Metazoa; Chordata; Actinopteri; Centrarchiformes; Centrarchidae
Exons: 3
Source: RefSeq, a predicted model, not a curated record